Molecule: RNA transcript, 2557 nt
Organism: Rhea pennata
Lineage: Eukaryota; Metazoa; Chordata; Aves; Rheiformes; Rheidae
Gene: LAT
Gene name: linker for activation of T cells
Exons: 10
Source: RefSeq, a predicted model, not a curated record
CUGUCUAGCUUCCCCAUGUUGCCACUGGCUCCUUUGUCCCCCUGCGGCCCCUGCUCCCCAGGCUCUCCUGGGUGGUGGCGGGGGGGACGAGCUGCUCCCCGUCCCAUGGCAUGGCCCUGCUCCGUGCUGGCUCGGUACUAUGGCCGCUCUUCCUGUCGAGCUGCUGCGGGCCCUGGGCGAGGGCUGUGGCCCCUCUCCUCCCCGUGUCCGCUGGGACGGGGCGCCCCGAUGCCUCUGUUCCCUCCUGGAAGGCGAGGCCGCAGGGCCGCGGGCUGAUACACCCAACUGCACUGCCAGAGCACAAGAGGCCGGAGCACCCCGACACCCAGCUUCCCGAGCUCGGGGUGCUGCAUGCCGGGAUGCCGAGCUCCUUAACAUGGGCCGCAGCACCGCCUGCCUGCUUUCCCUAGGGAUAUGGGAGCCACCGAUGCUCGUGUCCCCGGGCGCGGGGCGCGGGAGCUGCCAACGCUCCUGUCUCCGAAUGUGGGGUGCGGGAACAGCCAAUGCUCGUGUCCCUAAACAUGGGCUGCUGAGACGCCGAUAUUCGUGUCCCCCAACGUGGGGUGUGGGAGCCAUCAACACUUGUGUCCCCAAAUGUGGGGCGUGGGAACAGCCAAUGCUUGUCUCCCCAAAUGUGGGGCGCAGGAGCCACCAGCACUUGUGUCCCUGGGCGCAAGAACAGCCAAUGGUUUUGUGUCCCUGAACAUGGGCCGUGGAGCCACCGAUGCUCCCGUCCCCAAACAUGGGGCCGUGGAGCCACCAAUGCUCACGUCCCCGAAUGUGGGAUACGGGAACAGCUGAUGCUCAUGUCCCCGAAUGUGGGGCGUGGGAGCCCCCGAAGUUCACAUUCCACAAACGUAGGGCGCGGGAGCCGCCAACGCUCAAGUCCCUGAAUGUGAGGCGCAGGAACAGCUAAUGCUCCUGUUCCUGAACAUGGGGCACGGGAGCCCCCCAUGCUCAUGUUCCCAGACGUGGGGCAUGGGAGCCCCUGAUGCUCACGUUCCCCAAAUGCGGGGCACGGGAGCCCCUGAUGCUCAUGUUCCCAAACGUGGGGGGUGGGAGUCCCGAUGCUCAUGUCCCUGAACGUGGCCCAGCACGGGUUCCCUAACACGAGGUGCUGGUGCUUCCCAACACCGCGUUCCUGAACGCAGCAGAAAGCAACACUCGGAUGUCCAAGUUUCCAGGCGCUGGAGGCCCCCAGCGCUGGGCCUCUGCCCUGCUCUGGGGGCUGCAUCCUGCGAGGGUGCUGACGGCUCCGCAGCUGGGCCGGGGGUGGAAACCGCAGCAGCAGCAGGAGCCGCACAGCACCCGCCUCCGGCACCCACAGAGCCGCCGGCCGCGUGCCCCGCCGGGAGCUGGGGCACCCUGCCGCGACCCGCAGGCUCCCUCCCGUCUCCCGAGGGAGCCGCGAGUCCCUGUCCUCGCCCGCAGCGCCCGGGGACCGGCCUCCGGCUGCCCCGACUGUCCCCGCAGGCCUCAUGGACGCGCCAUGGCCCGAGGGGCUGCUCUGGGGCCUCCUCCUCCUCGUCCCCACCGCGCUGCUGGCUGCCCUCUGCGCCCGCUGCCGAGACCCCUGCGGCCCCUCUCGCACUCCGAUCAAGCAGCAGAAGGUGCCCUCAGCAGAGCCGUUCCUGUCCAUCCCGCGGUCCCCACAAGCCCCUCAGAGCCGCAAGGUCUCCUUCACCCGCCCAGAACCGGACAACGCGUGCCCAGCUACGAGAACGAGGGCGAGGCAGGCGGCCAUCCCCGGGUGGCCUGGCCACGCGCCCCGUCCCCGGCCCCCCCGGCCGCCCCCGAGAGCGAGGACGACUACAACAACGAGCUCUACGCCACCGGCUACGUGGAGGUGCUCCCGGACGGCGCGGCCGAGCCCAGUCCACCCCAGCAACCCCAGGCCAGGGACAGCGGCUCCUUGGUGGCGCCUGGCGAGGAGUAUGAGAACGUCCCCGAUGGCCACCGCCAGUCCCUUGCAGACAGCCUGGAGUACGUCAACAUCCCCGAUGCCGGGGCCAGCCCCGCACCCCGCUACGCCAGCGAGAGCGAGGAGGAUGCCCCGGACUACGAGAACCUGCAGCACUGAGCGCCAGGCGCUGCCGGCCGUCGCCCGGCGUGGGCACCAGGAGCAGCGGCUGGAGCCCUGGGAACUGGCCGGGCCGCCCCGUUAAUUUAUUGCACCCCGCCCCGUCCGCGCACCUUCGUCUGACACGUCCUGAGAAGCAGCCCCUGCUGCCCCCCGGCCUGCCCGGGGUCCCGGGGCCCCGCCCUCCGCAACGCUGAAUAAAGCUGUGGGAGCUGCACUUAGCUGCGCCUCGGCCUCUCUGCGCCGUGGGGCAGGCCGCAGGGCUGGGCCCCAUGCUGCCAUGCGCGGGGGGGCGGAGGCUCGCCGGACCGGGGACAGGCUGACCACGAGUCCAUCAGCAUGCCCCAGGCAGGCGCUGCUCCGGGGGUGGCCUUGCCAUGGGGCAGGGAGGCCAGAGCUGCCCCACCUGCAGGCAGACCCCUUCCCUGUCAGUGAACCCCAAUAAAUCAGAGGGGUGGCUGCCCCCCCUUGGCUCCA